RNAcentral lists this unclassified non-coding RNA (1288 nucleotides) under Leishmania donovani. RNAcentral describes it as "gene:unknown". The record is from RNAcentral. Lineage: Eukaryota; Euglenozoa; Kinetoplastea; Trypanosomatida; Trypanosomatidae.
AUUUUUUUUUAUCGCCCAGCCAAAGCUGCCUCCAAUAAGGAGAGACACAUCACUGCACGCCAUCUACGUUAAGUGCUCACACUCCGAGGUAGCCAAGCAGAUCCUCCCCCCCCCUUCCCAUCCCUGCCAACACCAAGCCGCCCCUGGCCCCGACAGGGUCAGGCGCACAGGACGUGGGGAGGGCCAGUGCGACUUGUCGCUGCUUGAUGUCAGCGGCCACGUCCUGGAUGGCGCUGCGUUGGAGCGACCUGCGACAGCGGAUGCCUCUGCCCCACCCAUAUGAUGAGCAGGGUGUCAGCACGAUUCGGACGUAUCCCAGCCGGUCCUCACACCGCCUGCUGGUGGGGGGGGCCCUGAGCCACCCCGAGGGGUGCACCCCGCGGCCACCGGCAUGAUGAUAACUGCUGUAGGGCAGCCUACAAAGUGGGGGCCGGUGGGUUGCGUUGCGGGCUGGGGCCGUGCUGCGGCGGCUGGGUGGGCGCGUUGCCGCAGCGGCUGUCCAGCGCUGCUUUGCGCCACGCCGUGGGGGCCUGAGACAGGGUCGUCAGGUAGAGUGCAGCUUGACUCGUGCUAUAUCGCAGAACGAAGUUUCUUUUUGCUUUUACCGUGCCAUUCUGCCGCGAGCAAGUGACAAAAAUAGACGCAUACAACCACAGCUCACCCGUCUCCGUAGGGAGGGGGGGGUUACAGCUGCAUCCUGGGCGUCUAGGACGAGCCGCCUGCCUUCGCAUCGGGCCAUACGCCGCACGGGCACUUCCUGUCCUUGCUCGUCCCUUCCUCGGGUGCGUGCUGCGCGGCGGGCGUCCCACGGACAUGGGUGAGCUGCAUGGCCUGAUCCAACGCGGGGCCGCGCCCAUGCUCCUGCUCGAGGGCGGAGGCGGUGGCGUCUGUCGUGCGGGUAAUAGGGGAGUGGUCAAGGUGACAUGCCGGAUGAGCUCGAGGAGGACGUUGGCCAGCCUCAGGUCAGGGCCCUCGGUGGCCCUGCGCACCCCCUGCCUGCGUGCCAUGCUUCGCCCUCGGUCGCUUCACGCCGCGGCAUCCCAUAAUAUGGAGACCCUCCGCAUGGGGAGUCGGGAGGGCCCGGAUGGUGCAGCUCGGGCUGCUCUCGUGAUGCUUCCGGCAUCUGUGCCUCAUCAGUGCAGCCCUGGACAGAUGCCGAAGAUGCCGCAUGCUAUGCACACAUGCGCUGUGGGGCUCACUGCUAUGGGACUUCUUCGCGCCCCUUCCGUCCAUCACUCUUGCUCUCUCACCUCUGCACUCUUUCUUUCGAUGUGGCGCACCAAGCCAG